This 433-nucleotide ribosomal RNA is filed under the name uncultured bacterium. RNAcentral describes it as "partial 16S ribosomal RNA". It matches the Rfam family "Bacterial small subunit ribosomal RNA", at positions 29 to 507 of the family's 1533-position model. The record is from RNAcentral.
AACGAACGCUGGCGGCAUGCCUAACACAUGCAAGUCGAACGAGACCUUCGGGUCUAGGGGCGCACGGGUGCGUAACGCGUGGGAACCUGCCCUUAGGUUCGGAAUAACUCCCCGAAUGGGGUGCUAAUACCGGAUAAUGUCUUCGGACCAAAGAUUUAUCGCCUUUGGAUGGGCCCGCGUUGGAUUAGCUAGUUGGUAGGGUAAUAGCAUACCAAGGCGACGAUCCAUAGCUGGUCUGAGAGGAUGAUCAGCCACACUGGGACUGAGACACGGCCCAGACUCCUACGGGAGGCAGCAGUGGGGAAUAUUGGAAAAUGGGCGAAAGCCUGAUCCAGCAAUGCCGCGUGAGUGAUGAAGGCCUUAGGGUUGUAAAGCUCUUUUACCCGGGAUGAUAAUGACAGUACCGGGAGAAUAAGCUCCGGCUAACUACGUG